AUUACUAGUAGUACAUACUAGUAUGUACUACUAGUACUAGUAUUAGUAGUACAAUUACGUACUGGUAGUAUGUACUACUUGUACUAAUAGUAC
This 93-nucleotide transfer RNA is filed under the name Amborella trichopoda. RNAcentral describes it as "tRNA AMTR_s00043t00274110". The record is from RNAcentral. Lineage: Eukaryota; Viridiplantae; Streptophyta; Magnoliopsida; Amborellales; Amborellaceae.